UACGGAGGGGGCUAGCGUUGUUCGGAAUUACUGGGCGUAAAGCGCACGUAGGCGGCUUUGUAAGCUAGAGGUGAAAGCCCGGAGCUCAACUCCGGAAUUGCCCUUAAGACUGCAUCGCUCGAAUCAUGGAGAGGUGAGUGGAAUUCCGAGUGUAGAGGUGAAAUUCGUAGAUAUUCGGAAGAACACCAGUGGCGAAGGCGACUCACUGGACAUGUAUUGACGCUGAGGUGCGAAAGCGUGGGGAGCAAACAGG
RNAcentral lists this ribosomal RNA (253 nucleotides) under uncultured bacterium. RNAcentral describes it as "partial 16S ribosomal RNA". It matches the Rfam family "Bacterial small subunit ribosomal RNA", at positions 524 to 776 of the family's 1533-position model. The record is from RNAcentral.